This 305-nucleotide ribosomal RNA is filed under the name uncultured bacterium. RNAcentral describes it as "bacterial SSU rRNA". It matches the Rfam family "Bacterial small subunit ribosomal RNA", at positions 336 to 638 of the family's 1533-position model. The record is from RNAcentral.
CGCCUACGGGACGCAGCAGUGAGGAAUAUUGGUCAAUGGGCGAGAGCCUGAACCAGCCAAGUCGCGUGAGGGAAGACGGUCCUAUGGAUUGUAAACCUCUUUUGUCGGGGAGCAAAAAGGCCUCGCGAGGCCACAAGUGAGAGUACCCGAAGAAAAAGCAUCGGCUAACUCCGUGCCAGCAGCCGCGGUAAUACGGAGGAUGCGAGCGUUAUCCGGAUUUAUUGGGUUUAAAGGGUGCGCAGGCGGCGAGGUAAGUCAGCGGUAAAAUUUCGGGGCUCAACCCCGACGAGCCGUUGAAGCUGGCU